GGGACCUUUAUCAGCACUUCACUGUCAGGGAAGGGUUUUUGAUCCUGAGAAAGAAUGCUGUCUCCAGCAGAGGUGGAAAAGCUGCCCAUGCAGAAGGAAAACCAGGAUCAAGCUGACUAAGUAACUGCAUAUAUAGGUGGAAGGCUUUCCUCUCCCACAGGAUCCCGUUGGGAGCACACAUGCAGGUGUAAGUUCCUGCGCCACAUUCCGACCUCAGCCCUGCUUUCGUUUUCUAACUGGCUGAGGUGAGUUGAAUAUACAACGUGUGGUUUCCGUUUUUAAAGGAGUUUGUAGGGAAGCAAAAUAUAUCCAGUUUCUCCCAAGGAACCAGAACUGCCCUGG
Molecule: long non-coding RNA, 342 nt
Filed under: Mus spicilegus (steppe mouse)
Lineage: Eukaryota; Metazoa; Chordata; Mammalia; Rodentia; Muridae
Description: lncRNA (ENSMSIG00000011509.1)
Source: RNAcentral